UGGGGAAUCUUGGACAAUGGGCGCAAGCCUGAUCCAGCCAUGCCGCGUGAGUGAUGAAGGCCUUAGGGUCGUAAAGCUCUUUCAACGGUGAAGAUAAUGACGGUAGCCGUAGAAGAAACCCCGGCUAACUCCGUGCCAGCAGCCGCGGUAAUACGGAGGGGGUUAGCGUUGUUCGGAAUUACUGGGCGUAAAGCGCGCGUAGGCGGAUUGGAAAGUAUGGGGUGAAAUCCCAGGGCUCAACCCUGGAACUGCCUCAUAAACUCCCAGUCUUGAGUUCGAGAGAGGUGAGUGGAACUCCGAGUGUAGAGGUGAAAUUCGUAGAUAUUCGGAAGAACACCAGUGGCGAAGGCGGCUCACUGGCUCGAUACUGACGCUGAGGUGCGAAAGUGUGGGGAGCAAACAGGAUUAGAUACCC
Molecule: ribosomal RNA, 415 nt
Filed under: uncultured Alphaproteobacteria bacterium
Lineage: Bacteria; Pseudomonadati; Pseudomonadota; Alphaproteobacteria
Description: bacterial SSU rRNA
Rfam family: Bacterial small subunit ribosomal RNA
Source: RNAcentral